GCAAGUCGAGCGCAGUCCUUCGGGACCGAGCGGCGGACGGGUUAGUAACGCGUGGGAACGUGCCCUUUUCUAUGGAAUAGCCUUUGGAAACGAAGAGUAAUACCAUAUACGCCCUUUGGGGGAAAGAUUUAUCGGAGAAGGAUCGGCCCGCGUUAGAUUAGAUAGUUGGUGGGGUAAUGGCCUACCAAGUCUACGAUCUAUAGCUGGUUUUAGAGGAUGAUC
This 222-nucleotide ribosomal RNA is filed under the name uncultured bacterium. RNAcentral's name for it is "partial 16S ribosomal RNA". It matches the Rfam family "Bacterial small subunit ribosomal RNA", at positions 57 to 305 of the family's 1533-position model. The record is from RNAcentral.